Molecule: non-coding RNA, 24 nt
Filed under: Arabidopsis thaliana (thale cress)
Lineage: Eukaryota; Viridiplantae; Streptophyta; Magnoliopsida; Brassicales; Brassicaceae
Source: RNAcentral
ACCGUUGAUCGAGUAGAAUGAGGA